UUAAGCGACUAAGCGUACACGGUGGAUGCCCUGGCAGUCAGAGGCGAUGAAGGACGUGCUAAUCUGCGAAAAGCGUCGGUAAGGUGAUAUGAACCGUUACAGCCGGCGAUGUCCGAAUGGGGAAACCCAGUGCAAUUCGUUGCACUAUCGUUAACUGAAUACAUAGGUUAACGAGGCGAACCGGGGGAACUGAAACAUCUAAGUACCCCGAGGAAAAGAAAUCAACCGAGAUUCCCCCAGUAGCGGCGAGCGAACGGGGAGCAGCCCAGAGUCUGAAUCAGCUUGUGUGUUAGUGGAACGGUCUGGAAAGUCCGACGGUACAGGGUGAUAGUCCCGUACACCAAAAUGCACAGGUUGUGAACUCGAAGAGUAGGGCGGGACACGUGGUAUCCUGUCUGAAUAUGGGGGGACCAUCCUCCAAGGCUAAAUACUCCUGACUGACCGAUAGUGAACCAGUACCGUGAGGGAAAGGCGAAAAGAACCCCGGCGAGGGGAGUGAAAAAGAACCUGAAACCGUGUACGUACAAGCAGUGGGAGCACCUUCGGGUGUGACUGCGUACCUUUUGUAUAAUGGGUCAGCGACUUAUAUUCUGUAGCAAGGUUAACCGUAUAGGGGAGCCGAAGGGAAACCGAGUCUUAACUGGGCGUUAAGUUGCAGGGUAUAGACCCGAAACCCGGUGAUCUAGCCAUGGGCAGGUUGAAGGUUGGGUAACACUAACUGGAGGACCGAACCGACUAAUGUUGAAAAAUUAGCGGAUGACUUGUGGCUGGGGGUGAAAGGCCAAUCAAACCGGGAGAUAGCUGGUUCUCCCCGAAAGCUAUUUAGGUAGCGCCUCGUGAACUCAUCUUCGGGGGUAGAGCACUGUUUCGGCUAGGGGGUCAUCCCGACUUACCAACCCGAUGCAAACUACGAAUACCGAAGAAUGUUAUCACGGGAGACACACGGCGGGUGCUAACGUCCGUCGUGAAGAGGGAAACAACCCAGACCGCCAGCUAAGGUCCCAAAGUCAUGGUUAAGUGGGAAACGAUGUGGGAAGGCACAGACAGCCAGGAUGUUGGCUUAGAAGCAGCCAUCAUUUAAAGAAAGCGUAAUAGCUCACUGGUCGAGUCGGCCUGCGCGGAAGAUGUAACGGGGCUAAACCAUGCACCGAAGCUGCGGCAGCGACACUAUGUGUUGUUGGGUAGGGGAGCGUUCUGUAAGCCUGCGAAGGUGUGCUGUGAGGCAUGCUGGAGGUAUCAGAAGUGCGAAUGCUGACAUAAGUAACGAUAAAGCGGGUGAAAAGCCCGCUCGCCGGAAGACCAAGGGUUCCUGUCCAACGUUAAUCGGGGCAGGGUGAGUCGACCCCUAAGGCGAGGCCGAAAGGCGUAGUCGAUGGGAAACAGGUUAAUAUUCCUGUACUUGGUGUUACUGCGAAGGGGGGACGGAGAAGGCUAUGUUAGCCGGGCGACGGUUGUCCCGGUUUAAGCAUGUAGGCUGGUUGUCCAGGCAAAUCCGGAUAAUCAAGGCUGAGGUGUGAUGACGAGGCACUACGGUGCUGAAGUAACAAAUGCCCUGCUUCCAGGAAAAGCCUCUAAGCAUCAGGUAACAUCAAAUCGUACCCCAAACCGACACAGGUGGUCAGGUAGAGAAUACCAAGGCGCUUGAGAGAACUCGGGUGAAGGAACUAGGCAAAAUGGUGCCGUAACUUCGGGAGAAGGCACGCUGAUAUGUAGGUGAAGCCCCUGCGGGUGGAGCUGAAAUCAGUCGAAGAUACCAGCUGGCUGCAACUGUUUAUUAAAAACACAGCACUGUGCAAACACGAAAGUGGACGUAUACGGUGUGACGCCUGCCCGGUGCCGGAAGGUUAAUUGAUGGGGUUAUCCGUAAGGAGAAGCUCUUGAUCGAAGCCCCGGUAAACGGCGGCCGUAACUAUAACGGUCCUAAGGUAGCGAAAUUCCUUGUCGGGUAAGUUCCGACCUGCACGAAUGGCGUAAUGAUGGCCAGGCUGUCUCCACCCGAGACUCAGUGAAAUUGAACUCGCUGUGAAGAUGCAGUGUACCCGCGGCAAGACGGAAAGACCCCGUGAACCUUUACUAUAGCUUGACACUGAACAUUGAGCCUUGAUGUGUAGGAUAGGUGGGAGGCUUUGAAGCGUGGACGCCAGUCUGCGUGGAGCCAACCUUGAAAUACCACCCUUUAAUGUUUGAUGUUCUAACGUUGACCCGUAAUCCGGGUUGCGGACAGUGUCUGGUGGGUAGUUUGACUGGGGCGGUCUCCUCCCAAAGAGUAACGGAGGAGCACGAAGGUUUGCUAAUGACGGUCGGACAUCGUCAGGUUAGUGCAAUGGUAUAAGCAAGCUUAACUGCGAGACAGACAAGUCGAGCAGGUACGAAAGUAGGUCAUAGUGAUCCGGUGGUUCUGAAUGGAAGGGCCAUCGCUCAACGGAUAAAAGGUACUCCGGGGAUAACAGGCUGAUACCGCCCAAGAGUUCAUAUCGACGGCGGUGUUUGGCACCUCGAUGUCGGCUCAUCACAUCCUGGGGCUGAAGUAGGUCCCAAGGGUAUGGCUGUUCGCCAUUUAAAGUGGUACGCGAGCUGGGUUUAGAACGUCGUGAGACAGUUCGGUCCCUAUCUGCCGUGGGCGUUGGAGAAUUGAUUGGGGCUGCUCCUAGUACGAGAGGACCGGAGUGGACGCACCACUGGUGUUCCGGUUGUGUCGCCAGACGCAUUGCCGGGUAGCUAAGUGCGGAAGAGAUAAGUGCUGAAAGCAUCUAAGCACGAAACUUGCCAAGAGAUGAGUUCUCCCUGUCUUUAAGACAGUAAGGGUUGUUUAAGACUAAGACGUAGAUAGGUCUGGUGUGUAAGCGGUGCGAGCCGUUGAGCUAACAGAUACUAAUUGCCCGAGAGGCUUAACUAU
RNAcentral lists this ribosomal RNA (2896 nucleotides) under metagenome. RNAcentral describes it as "bacterial LSU rRNA". It matches the Rfam family "Bacterial large subunit ribosomal RNA". The record is from RNAcentral.